CUUAUUCCUCUAAUUCGUCUCUUAAACUUAGAACAUAUCCAUUCCCUUCUCUUAUCCUCAACCUUCGAACCCUAACCCCUUCGGCGAGUCACAAUGCAGUCCGUCAAGGCUCCAGCAAAGCCUACCGAAUUGCUUCUCCAGUAUACAGAGCUCACGCAUAGCCUAGGGUAACAGUGAUGCAACAACUGCAUUUGUAAAUGAUGGCAUUUAUUUGGAGAAGUAUGUCCAAGAUCCUAGGCAAAUUGAAUUUCAGGAAUCUCCAAACUUCAGCUCAAAUGGUAGAAAAAAUACUGUGAAGCAUCAAAUGAAAGGGUAGACGAGCAGUGAAGACCAUACUUAGGAGUAUUGGUUGAUCGUUUCUAGACGUUUAGAUAUUCUAGGAAUUUUUUGUUUAGAACUCUGUAAACUUAUAUAUGAAAACUCUUGAAUUGUCAAACGAUAGUGUAUGUUUUGCUUUUAUUUAUUUAUGGAUAAUGCUAGUACUAGUUAAAUAUUUUGGAAUAUAUUUUUA
Long non-coding RNA from Nicotiana attenuata, 511 nucleotides. RefSeq lists it as uncharacterized. Lineage: Eukaryota; Viridiplantae; Streptophyta; Magnoliopsida; Solanales; Solanaceae. The record is from RefSeq and is a predicted model, not a curated record. The transcript has 4 exons.